UCCAGGCAAUGCGUUAUCAGCCUGGAGUUAGUCGAUCCUAAGAAUUACCUCAACAGAGUAAUUCGAAUGGGAAACUGGUUAAUAUUCCAGUACCUUGCUGAUACGUUAUCAUCUACAUGAGUUGCUUCUAGAUAGGGUGAGUAGAACCGUCGUUUUAUCUAACUGUUCGAGAUUCAGGGAGUGUCGUAAUGACGAGAACUGAUUCGAGGCAGGAAUGGCUUUGCGUUAGCAGAGUUCACUCAACUCUAGGGGACCAUGAAAGUUUGUGUAGAGAGUAUUAGCAAUGUUCGUACCGAGAACCGACACAGGUGCGCUAGCUUAGAAAGCUAAGGUGCUACGGGUAUACCGUAUGGCGAGGGAAUUCGGCAAAUUAGUCCUGUAGCUUAGGUAUAAGGGAUGCCUGCUGUUUUAAUGAGGAAUUGGAACAGCAGGUUGCAAUAACUAGGGGGUUCCGACUGUUUAAUAAAAACACAGGCGACUGCUAGUCCGAAAGGAUUUGUAUAGUCGCUGAAUCCUGGCCGGUGCAGGUACCUAAAACUGGUAGCCAAAUGCCUUGUCGGGUAAGUUCCGACGCGCAUGAAUGGAACAACGAGAGCCCCACUGUCCCCGCCUACAACCCGGUGAAGCCACAUAAGGUGGACGAACAGUCCAUCAUCUUCCAUCGGGGAGAGAAGACCCCGUGGAGUUUUACUGCAGCUUGUGCUUGUAGUAUAGUACGAAUUACAUAGUGUAUCUGGUAGCCAUGCCUGAAUUUCUUUGGGAAUUCAGUGAAGCGACGAUGUAACACCAGAUUAUUCUUGCAGUACUUCUUAUCUGAUGCAAAUCAGAAACAGGUGCAGGUAGGCAGUUCGGCUGGGGCGGCACCCCUUUGAAAAGAUAUCAAAGGGGCCCAAAGUUUAGUUCAAACGGGUCAGAAAUCCGUUGAAGAGGGCAAAGCCAAAAACUAGACUGACAGGAUUUCCAAACGCACGGAAUUCUGAGACGAAAGUCUGGCUUAGCGAUCCUUCGUGUGCCCACUAUUGGGGCCCGGAGGUGACAGAAAAAUUACCCCAGGGAUAACAGGCUCGUCGCGGGCGAGAGCUCCUAUCGACCCCGCGGUUUGGUACCUCGAUGUCGGCUUUUCCUAUCCUGGUCCUGCAGCAGGGGCCAAGGGUGAGGCUGCUCGCCUAUUAAAAGGGAACAUGAGCUGGGUUUAGACCGUCGUGAGACAGGUCGGUCUCUGCCUGAUGGAAGCGAUGUGUAGAUCACAAGCUUCGGCGAGUGGUGAGCAUGCCAUCACUAAUCGACCAACACAUCAGCUCGGCCAUAUACAUAGAGACUAUACAUGACGUUUCAUAUUUUUAAUUUGAAUUAGUGGAAACUAUACACAAAUUUACCAUAUAGAGGCAUUUUAGAAUAUAUGUGGUAAUAAUCUCCGUUGGUUGACUGUGAGGGGCAUCUUGCUUAAAGUCCAGGGAAUUUAACUCCAAUCCCAACGGCAAAUGUCAUUCUG
Molecule: ribosomal RNA, 1492 nt
Filed under: Nitrosopelagicus sp. REDSEA-S08_B1
Lineage: Archaea; Thermoproteati; Nitrososphaerota
Description: bacterial LSU rRNA
Rfam family: Archaeal large subunit ribosomal RNA (bases 1-1254)
Source: RNAcentral